Molecule: ribosomal RNA, 429 nt
Filed under: Chloroflexota bacterium
Lineage: Bacteria; Bacillati; Chloroflexota
Description: Chloroflexi bacterium partial 16S ribosomal RNA
Rfam family: Bacterial small subunit ribosomal RNA
Source: RNAcentral
UGGGGAAUAUUGCACAAUGGGCGCAAGCCUGAUGCAGCCAUGCCGCGUGUAUGAAGAAGGCCUUCGGGUUGUAAAGUACUUUCAGCGGGGAGGAAGGGAGUAAAGUUCAUACCUUUGCUCAUUGACGUUACCCGCAGAAGAAGCACCGGCUAACUCCGUGCCAGCAGCCGCGGUAAUACGGAGGGUGCAAGCGUUAAUCGGAAUUACUGGGCGUAAAGCGCACGCAGGCGGUUUGUUAAGUCAGAUGUGAAAUCCCCGGGCUCAACCUGGGAACUGCAUCUGAUACUGGCAAGCUUGAGUCUCGUAGAGGGGGGUAGAAUUCCAGGUGUAGCGGUGAAAUGCGUAGAGAUCUGGAGGAAUACCGGUGGCGAAGGCGGCCCCCUGGACGAAGACUGACGCUCAGGUGCGAAAGCGUGGGGAGCAAACAGG